Parus major (Great Tit) is the source of this 1870-nucleotide long non-coding RNA. RefSeq lists it as uncharacterized. Lineage: Eukaryota; Metazoa; Chordata; Aves; Passeriformes; Paridae. The record is from RefSeq and is a predicted model, not a curated record. The transcript is spliced from 3 exons.
GUUUGUCAAGUGUGUUAAAAAAUCAAUAACAUGAUUCAGUCCUUUCUUAAUUGUGCCAUCAGCCUCAGAACCAUCAAUAGCAUUGUCAAAAUAUUUGUCAUAAACUUGUCUAACGUGAAUAUGUGUCUAAUUCUGUGGCAGGAGCUCAGGUAUUGGUAUAAUCCUUACCACAAUAAUCAAAUCAAUUUCCUGCUUUCUAUUGCAGGGUAAAUGCUGGUAAUCAUGGCAAUAAGCACAACAGAUCUAAGUUAUUCUAAAAUCCAAGAUAUAAAACUAAUAGUCACAAUAUAACUCAUACCACUUUGAAAAUGAAGCAUCAAUAUAAUUCUUUCAACAUAUGGUGGGGCUGCUAGAACAAAAGAGUUCUUGAGCACCAGAUUCACCUCUGAGGGGAAAGGAAAUAACACAAAAGAAGAUAUCUCUGGCUCUGAUGAUUAUAUGGACAAAAAUGUUUUUAUACUGUCCUGCUCAGCAGUCAAAAAGAGGGGUAAAGUGGGUAUGGAUGUAACAAACAAGUUCUUUCAACUGAGCUGGUGCUGUGAGGAGAGCAACAAUCUAAGGUGGAUCUCUUUUCCUAUGGAUCUAUAAUAAAAUAGAUUUAAAAAAAAUAAAAGAACAAUACAUUCAAAAAUCCCAGAGAUAUUUAUCAGCUCUUUUGAGUCUUGAACUGUUUAGCUGAAUCCAGUGCAGUUCUGCUUCUUUUGCUAAUUAGGAAAUAGAGGAGUUAACUUCCCUACCAAAGGAUCUGUGAUAAAUGGACAUAAGAAUAUAGAGAAGUGCUGGAUAGAACUUCCAAUACAGAAUGACAUUGAUAUAAACCUGAGGAAACCAGAAAAAAUUCCUGCCUGAGGUAUGACAUGAUAAGAACUGUUUCUUCUGGCUUUUAGAGUUUGAACCACAAAUAAUUAAUUUGAAAAUAAAAUAGAUUCAUUUUCACAAGACCUGGGUUAAUUUGCACAGUUUAGAGAUUGGAUUAAUCUCUGCCUGGGCUUCAGUGCUAAAACAUUUCUAUGUUUUAUUGAUAAAAAUUAAGUGUCCUGGGAACAAUUCCAAACCAAGCACACCAAUUUGAAGACAUAUGCAUACAAACUUUUCAAAUAAAUCUACCUUACAGCUUUGUUUCUUUGGAAAAAAAAAACCAACCCAAACAACUUUCUUCAAACAAACCCUGGGCUUUGAACUAUUCCAUUUUAUUAAGGGUUAUUUGUAGUUCAUCACAUCAUCAUUGCAUUUCCUUUCUCCCAGGGCAACAGUGCCCAUCUUUUGGCUUUUCCCUGAAUCCCUGUGAGUAUUACCAUAUAUGGCAUCAUUUUACUUGUAAUUAUCCCAUCAUACUGUAAUGCUCCUUAACUCUUUGCUUCUGCACAAGGCUGAGGGCUUUCCUGUUUUCUGCAGAUAGAUUUUGGGGCUUUAACUUCCUUUUGUAAUAGACAAUAAAAAGGUUUCUCAACAUGUAAUAGAAAACACACAGAACCUCAGCUGCUUUAGGUUAAUUAGGAAAAAAAGCCUCCAAGGUCAAAAAGUAAUGAAGAAUAAUGUUUCUAGCUGAUGAAUUCAUCUGAUUUUCAACAUAUCAGAUCAAUCCUGAACAUCCAUGACAACAGACAGGUCUGAUAAACAAGUAUCCAUUUAACAUUAGUAGCCCUCACACUCUGAAGGAUGUAUCACAGCCACAGGAUGUCUGAUUUCACCUCAGUGAUGAAAUGCCAUGUGUUUGUAAAUGUACUAAUGAGGGGGAAUGGCUAGGUCAGGUCAAUGCCUCUGAAUAGCAAGAAGUUUACCAAGGGAGACCCAGGAGGAAGAGAGCACGUGAAUUUCUUAGUUCACUUUACAGGUGGAUGAAAUUCCUCCUAGAGCUAUUGAGUUGCAA